AUACGGAGGGUGCAAGCGUUAAUCGGAAUUACUGGGCGUAAAGCGCUCGUAGGCGGCUUGUAAAGUCGGAUGUGAAAGCCCCGGGCUCAACCUGGGAACUGCAUUCGAUACUGGCAAGCUAGAGUAUAGUAGAGGCAAGUGGAAUUCCGGGUGUAGCGGUGAAAUGCGUAGAUAUCCGGAGGAACAUCAGUGGCGAAGGCGACUUGCUGGACUAAUACUGACGCUGAGGAGCGAAAGCGUGGGGAGCAAACGGGAUUAGAUACCCCUGUAGUCC
RNAcentral lists this ribosomal RNA (274 nucleotides) under uncultured bacterium. Its description in RNAcentral is "partial 16S ribosomal RNA". It matches the Rfam family "Bacterial small subunit ribosomal RNA", at positions 523 to 796 of the family's 1533-position model. The record is from RNAcentral.